GUAACGCGUGGGUAACCUGCCGUAUACCGGGGGAUAACACCUGGAAACAGGUGCUAAUACCGCAUAAGCGCACAGCGCCGCAUGGCGCGGUGUGAAAAACUCCGGUGGUAUACGAUGGACCCGCGUCUGAUUAGCUAGUUGGCAGGAUAAAAGCCUACCAAGGCGACGAUCAGUAGCCGGCCUGAGAGGGUGGACGGCCACAUUGGGACUGAGACACGGCCCAAACUCCUACGGGAGGCAGCAGUGGGGAAUAUUGCACAAUGGGGGAAACCCUGAUGCAGCGACGCCGCGUGAGUGAAGAAGUAUUUCGGUAUGUAAAGCUCUGUCAGCAGGGAAGAAAAUGACGGUACCUGACCAAGAAGCCCCGGCUAACUACGUG
Molecule: ribosomal RNA, 379 nt
Filed under: uncultured bacterium
Lineage: Bacteria
Description: bacterial SSU rRNA
Rfam family: Bacterial small subunit ribosomal RNA
Source: RNAcentral